GACAGGGGGUGCAAACGUUGCUCGGAAUCACUGGGCGUAAAGCGCACGUAGGCGGUCGUGUAAGUCGGGUGUGAAAGCCCUUGGCUCAACCAAGGAACAGCACCCGAUACUGCAUGGCUUGAGGACGGGAGGGGAGAGUGGAACUCUUGGUGGAGCGGUGAAAUGCGUAGAUAUCAGGAGGAACACCGGUGGCGAAAGCGACUCUCUGGUCCGUUCCUGACGCUGAGGUGCGAAAGCUAGGGGAGCAAACGGG
RNAcentral lists this ribosomal RNA (253 nucleotides) under uncultured bacterium. RNAcentral's name for it is "partial 16S ribosomal RNA". It matches the Rfam family "Bacterial small subunit ribosomal RNA", at positions 524 to 776 of the family's 1533-position model. The record is from RNAcentral.